This 120-nucleotide non-coding RNA is filed under the name Vibrio tapetis subsp. tapetis. RNAcentral's name for it is "TPP riboswitch aptamer (THI element)". It matches the Rfam family "TPP riboswitch aptamer (THI element)". Rfam says of the family: Vitamin B(1) in its active form thiamin pyrophosphate (TPP) is an essential coenzyme that is synthesised by coupling of pyrimidine and thiazole moieties in bacteria. The previously detected thiamin-regulatory element, thi box was extended, resulting in a new, highly conserved RNA secondary structure, the THI element, which is widely distributed in eubacteria and also occurs in some archaea. Analysis of operon structures identified a large number of new candidate thiamin-regulated genes, mostly transporters, in various prokaryotic organisms. Lineage: Bacteria; Pseudomonadati; Pseudomonadota; Gammaproteobacteria; Vibrionales; Vibrionaceae. The record is from Rfam by way of RNAcentral.
CUUCACUUGUCGGAGUGCUUACAUCUACUUAAUUGUGAGAUGAUAGCUGAGACCGUGAAAACGGGAUCCGUUGAACCUGAUCAGGCUAAUACCUGCGAAGGGAACAGGAGAAGAUAUUUU